RNAcentral lists this small RNA (65 nucleotides) under Sinorhizobium meliloti 2011. RNAcentral's name for it is "putative ncRNA". Lineage: Bacteria; Pseudomonadati; Pseudomonadota; Alphaproteobacteria; Hyphomicrobiales; Rhizobiaceae. The record is from RNAcentral.
GUUACUUUGCCCGUGGGUAGUUCCGCUUGCGCGUGCCACCGCGUGAUCGGAAGGCGUUAACGUGA